RNAcentral lists this ribosomal RNA (297 nucleotides) under Alexandrium tamarense. RNAcentral describes it as "partial Eukaryotic large subunit ribosomal RNA". It matches the Rfam family "Eukaryotic large subunit ribosomal RNA", at positions 639 to 940 of the family's 3401-position model. The record is from RNAcentral. Lineage: Eukaryota; Dinophyceae; Gonyaulacales; Pyrocystaceae.
CUUAAACAGCCCGUCUGGAAACACGGACCAAGGAGUCUGACACAGAUGCGAGUACGGUGGUGGCAAACCACGGUGCGCAAUGAAAGUGACGAUCGGAUGCUUCGCGGCUGCACAAUCGACCGACCAUUAGGCUACGGCCUCGAGGUUUGAGUGAGAGCAUUUGUGUCGGGACCCGAAAGAUGGUGAACUAUGCCUGAAUAGGGCGAAGCCAGGGGAAACUCUGGUGGAGGCUCGUAGCGAUACUGACGUGCAAAUCGUUCGUCGGAUUUGGGUAUAGGGGCGAAAGACUAAUCGAAC